AACGAACGCUGGCGGCAUGCCUAACACAUGCAAGUCGAACGAGACCUUCGGGUCUAGUGGCGCACGGGUGCGUAACGCGUGGGAAUCUGCCCUCAGGUACGGAAUAACUCAGGGAAACUUGAGCUAAUACCGUAUAAUGACUUCGGUCCAAAGAUUUAUCGCCUGGGGAUGAGCCCGCGUCGGAUUAGCUAGUUGGUGAGGUAAAGGCUCACCAAGGCGACGAUCCGUAGCUGGUCUGAGAGGAUGAUCAGCCACACUGGGACUGAGACACGGCCCAGACUCCUACGGGAGGCAGCAGUGGGGAAUAUUGGACAAUGGGCGCAAGCCUGAUCCAGCAAUGCCGCGUGAGUGAUGAAGGCCUUAGGGUUGUAAAGCUCUUUUACCCGGGAAGAUAAUGACUGUACCGGGAGAAUAAGCCCCGGCUAACUCCGUGCCAGCAGCCGCGGUAAUACGGAGGGGGCUAGCGUUGUUCGGAAUUACUGGGCGUAAAGCGCACGUA
This 499-nucleotide ribosomal RNA is filed under the name uncultured bacterium. RNAcentral's name for it is "bacterial SSU rRNA". It matches the Rfam family "Bacterial small subunit ribosomal RNA", at positions 28 to 573 of the family's 1533-position model. The record is from RNAcentral.